GCAGGUGUGGCUCAAUGGUAGAGCAUUUGUUUAGCAUGUAUGAUGCCCUGGGUUCAAUCCCUACCACUGUA
This 71-nucleotide transfer RNA is filed under the name Fukomys damarensis (Damara mole-rat). It matches the Rfam family "tRNA". From Rfam's summary of the family: Transfer RNA (tRNA) molecules are approximately 80 nucleotides in length. Their secondary structure includes four short double-helical elements and three loops (D, anti-codon, and T loops). The record is from Rfam by way of RNAcentral. Lineage: Eukaryota; Metazoa; Chordata; Mammalia; Rodentia; Bathyergidae.